UAAUACGGAGGGAGCAAGCGUUACUCGGAAUUAUUGGGCGUAAAGGGCGCGUAGGCGAUUUGGCAAGUCUUGUGUGAAAGCCCACAGCUUAACUGUGGAAGUGCAUAAGAUACUGCUGAAUUUGAGUUCAGGAGAGGAAGGCAGAAUUCCUGGUGUAGCGGUGAAAUGCGUAGAUAUCAGGAGGAAUACCAGUGGCGAAGGCGGCCUUCUGGACUGACACUGACGCUGAGGCGCGAAAGCUAGGGGAGCAAACGGGAUUAGAUACCCCGGUAGUCCUAGCCGUAAACGAUGUACACUUGGUGUGAGCCCUAUUAGGGUUCGUGCCGCAGUUAACGCAGUAAGUGUACCGCCUGGGGAGUACGGUCGCAAGGCUG
This 374-nucleotide ribosomal RNA is filed under the name uncultured bacterium. RNAcentral's name for it is "bacterial SSU rRNA". It matches the Rfam family "Bacterial small subunit ribosomal RNA", at positions 521 to 896 of the family's 1533-position model. The record is from RNAcentral.